RNAcentral lists this transfer RNA (74 nucleotides) under Sphaerodactylus townsendi. RNAcentral's name for it is "tRNA-Gly". Lineage: Eukaryota; Metazoa; Chordata; Lepidosauria; Squamata; Sphaerodactylidae. The record is from RNAcentral.
GAGCCACGUGGCAUAAUGGUUAAGUGUUUGAACUGCCAUUCACAUGGUCAGGAGUUCGAACCCCCUGUGGAUCA